GAGUUUGAUCCUGGCUCAGGACGAACGCUGGCGGCGUGCUUAACACAUGCAAGUCGAGCGGAAAGGCCCUUUCGGGGGUACUCGAGCGGCGAACGGGUGAGUAACACGUGAGUAACCUGCCCCAGUCUUUGGGAUAACCCUCGGAAACGGGGGCUAAUACCGGAUAUGACCUUGGACCGCAUGGUCUUUUGGUGGAAAGUUUUUCGGUCUGGGAUGGGCUCGCGGCCUAUCAGCUUGUUGGUGGGGUGAUGGCCUACCAAGGCGACGACGGGUAGCCGGCCUGAGAGGGCGACCGGCCACACUGGGACUGAGACACGGCCCAGACUCCUACGGGAGGCAGCAGUGGGGAAUAUUGCACAAUGGGCGGAAGCCUGAUGCAGCGACGCCGCGUGAGGGAUGACGGCC
RNAcentral lists this ribosomal RNA (405 nucleotides) under uncultured Actinomycetes bacterium. RNAcentral's name for it is "bacterial SSU rRNA". It matches the Rfam family "Bacterial small subunit ribosomal RNA", at positions 9 to 416 of the family's 1533-position model. Lineage: Bacteria; Bacillati; Actinomycetota; Actinomycetes. The record is from RNAcentral.